RNAcentral lists this non-coding RNA (21 nucleotides) under Arabidopsis thaliana (thale cress). Lineage: Eukaryota; Viridiplantae; Streptophyta; Magnoliopsida; Brassicales; Brassicaceae. The record is from RNAcentral.
GGUCGGCCGGUCCGCCUUUGG